AACGAACGCUGGCGGCAGGCCUAACACAUGCAAGUCGAGCGAGGACUUCGGUUCUAGCGGCGGACGGGUGAGUAACGCGUGGGAAUGUGCCCUUCUCUACGGAAUAGCCCUGGGAAACUGGGAGUAAUACCGUAUACGCCCUAUUGGGGAAAGAUUUAUCGGAGAAGGAUCAGCCCGCGUUGGAUUAGGUAGUUGGUGGGGUAAUGGCCUACCAAGCCGACGAUCCAUAGCUGGUUUGAGAGGAUGAUCAGCCACACUGGGACUGAGACACGGCCCAGACUCCUACGGGAGGCAGCAGUGGGGAAUCUUAGACAAUGGGGGCAACCCUGAUCUAGCCAUGCCGCGUGAGUGAUGAAGGCCUUAGGGGUAAAGCUCUUUCAGCUGGGAAGAUAAUGACGGUACCAGCAGAAGAAGCCCCGGCUAACUCCGUG
Molecule: ribosomal RNA, 431 nt
Filed under: uncultured bacterium
Lineage: Bacteria
Description: partial 16S ribosomal RNA
Rfam family: Bacterial small subunit ribosomal RNA
Source: RNAcentral